AUACAGAGGGUGCGAGCGUUAAUCGGAAUGACUGGGCGUAAAGAGCGUGUAGGUGGAUGUUCAAGUCAGAGGUGAAAUCCCCGGGCUCAACCUGGGAACUGCCUCUGAAACUGUGUAUCUAGAGUAUGGGAGAGGGAAGUGGAAUUUCCGGUGUAGCGGUGAAAUGCGUAGAUAUCGGAAGGAACACCAGUGGCGAAGGCGGCUUCCUGGCCUAAUACUGACACUGAGACGCGAAAGCGUGGGUAGCGAACAGGAUUAGAUACCCCAGUAGUCC
RNAcentral lists this ribosomal RNA (274 nucleotides) under uncultured bacterium. RNAcentral describes it as "partial 16S ribosomal RNA". It matches the Rfam family "Bacterial small subunit ribosomal RNA", at positions 523 to 796 of the family's 1533-position model. The record is from RNAcentral.